AGAACCUCCUGUCUGUCGCUGUCCUCUGCCCCUCAUGGUGGUUAAUAGUUCUUAGCCUCUUAAGCUCGUCAGAAGAGGCCAAGGCAUAGUCCAAGGGCUUUCUGUCCUGCACUGGAGCAACUGGAGGCAACUCCUCCUCCACAACCUCUAUUAUUGGCUUUACUGUAAAACUUAGGCUGCUCAGUUGUGCUGGGGUGCUCAAACUGUGAGCUCUCUGGCUGGUAUUCCUCAUGAGCGAUUCGGCGGUUUUGGAUUCCUUUUCUAUAUAUCCAUUCAUGUGGUACAUCUGUUCCACACUCAAUUUAUUGAAGACUUCAAAGAACUCUUUGAACCACUUGUUCGUUUUUGGAGUCUCAAAACUUUUCUCACUUGCAUCAGAAUCAUAGUCACACUGAUAUCAUCACUCAAAUCAUCACCAUCAUCUAAUGUAUUGUUGCCAUCAACAUUCUCCACCUCAGGGUCAGAACCAGAUGGAGGAGCAUCAUCCAUCUCGACUUCAGAACCAGAUGGGCGAGGCCUGUAUUGCCACUGCCAACCAUUUGCCAGAGGUGGAGUCAGAACAGGGCGCAGUGUUUGUGGUGGCGGUCUAGUGUUGCCUCUGUUAGCAGCACCACGAUCUGAAGCUUGAGCCCAAGUCGUUCCAGAAGGGUGCAAGGAACCAUUGCCACCUCAUGCUGGCCUUGCUGUGUUAGGUGUCGCAUUUGUAGAACUCCAUGGUGCCCACUGUCUCCCACCUACUUGCCCUUGUUUCUUCGACUUCUUCCCCAUGGUUUCCCAGCCACCAUCUGUAUGCAGGGUAGGAUCAUGCAGCGUCAGAUAAAUUAAUCUCCAUUUUUAUGUUUUAGUUCUUUGUUUUUCAUUUUGUCUACUUUAGUUUUCAGUUUCUAUUUGUCAAUUUCAGUUUUUUUUCUGGUUGUCAAUUUCAGCUUCAGGGAGAAGUUAAUGGGUGACCAAGCCUUGAUGAAGAAAGAGCUGGACAACCUGAAAAGGUUGAUGGGCAACCAAGAGUUGAAGAAGGAUGAUGUGCAUAAGCUGAAAGGGACUACAGGGAAACCUUGGAAGAUGGCAAUGUGUUCACUGUGUUUUCUGCUUUUGGCGAUCGUGAUUGGGUGGUUUGUAAUGGAACAUAUGAAUGGGGAGGAAGCAUUCAGGGGACUUCUGCUGAGCCCUUAGGCUAAUGAACUUAGGAUGAUGGACUUUUGUAUAGCUAGUCCAGUGUUGUUCCUGCUGGAAGGUCUCAAGUAGUGUCCAGCCACUAGUACUCCUGAAAGCCUUGUAUGUGUUACCCUGAGACACUAUAUUAAGUAGCUAAAUGCCCUUGAAAGCCUUAUAUGUUUCGCUAAUCUCCCGGUCUAGUGAACUUUCUUAGCUCGGAUUUACCCUCCUUACCCCGAUUUACCCUCGUAUUCGAGAUUUACCAACUACAUCACCACAAUACACGAAGGCAAUGCAAGCAGCUCACAUAUUUAUGCCAUUCUUUCAUUCACUUUGCAAAAUCAAAACUUUGCGUGCGUGCACUCGCGGCUGAAGUUGUGGUGAA
RNAcentral lists this long non-coding RNA (1540 nucleotides) under Setaria italica (foxtail millet). RNAcentral describes it as "long non-coding RNA (SITA_LNC006343)". Lineage: Eukaryota; Viridiplantae; Streptophyta; Magnoliopsida; Poales; Poaceae. The record is from RNAcentral.